UUAGUUUUUGAAGUAUGGCCUGCCCGCUGACAUUUGGUGUUGAAGGGCCGCGGUAUUUUGACCGUGCAAAGGUAGCAUAAUCAUUAGUUCUUUAAUUGUGAUCUGGAAUGAAUGGCUUGACGAGGCACGGGCUGUCUUAGUGUUGAAUGUUUUAUUGAAUUUGGUCUUUGAGUUAAAAUUCUUAGAUGUUUUUGUGGGACGAGAAGACCCUAUAGAGUUUGACAUUUGGUUUAUUUACUUGUUUGUUGUUUGUUUAUUUUUGGUGAGUGGACUUUUUGUUUUGUUGGGGUGAUGGGAGGAAUAUACUUAACUCCUCUUAGUUUUGGUUAUAUUGAUUUAUAAUUGUUUGAUCCAUUUAUUUUGAUUGUAAGACUAAAUUACCUUAGGGAUAACAGCGUUAUCUUCCUUGAGAGUUCUUAUCGGCAGGGGGGUUUGCGACCUCGAUGUUGGAUUAAG
This 456-nucleotide ribosomal RNA is filed under the name Coptotermes vastator. RNAcentral describes it as "partial 16S ribosomal RNA". It matches the Rfam family "Bacterial large subunit ribosomal RNA", at positions 1840 to 2541 of the family's 2925-position model. Lineage: Eukaryota; Metazoa; Arthropoda; Insecta; Blattodea; Rhinotermitidae. The record is from RNAcentral.